This 363-nucleotide transfer-messenger RNA is filed under the name Natronobacillus azotifigens. It matches the Rfam family "transfer-messenger RNA". Rfam says of the family: Bacterial tmRNA, also known as 10Sa RNA or SsrA, is named for its dual tRNA and mRNA-like properties. Its role is to liberate the mRNA from a stalled ribosome. To accomplish this part of the tmRNA is used as a reading frame that ends in a translation stop signal. Lineage: Bacteria; Bacillati; Bacillota; Bacilli; Caryophanales; Bacillaceae. The record is from Rfam by way of RNAcentral.
GGGGACGUUACGGAUUCGACAGGGGUAGUUUGAGCUCAAGUUGCGUGCCGAGGUUACGACUCGUAAACCGUUACCCGCCAAUAAUAACUGGCAAAGAAAACAAUUUCUCUUUAGCAGCUGCCUAAGCAGCACUAAAGGAUCCUUCCUAUCAUCGCCCGUGUGCUAGAUGAAGGGUCUCAAAUGAAGCGGGAUACGCUAAACAUUCACCGUCUGCGGAUGUUUAGAGGAGAUUAAUCAGACUAGCUGCUAGGAAGCCUGUUGAUAGGCUGAAUGGCAAGCGAAAUGCGAAUAUAUCAACUACGCAUGUAGACGCUUGAGUGGCAAUAUCUCUGGACGUGGGUUCGACUCCCACCGUCUCCACCA